UUUUUUUAAUGAUUUUUAUUUUUUCCAUUACAGCUGGUUUACAGUGUUCUGCGAUUUUCCACUGUACAGCAAGAUGACCCAGGCACACAUACACAUAUACAUUCCUUUUUCUCACAUUAUCAUGCUCCAUCACAAGUGACUAGACAUAGUUCCCAGUGCUAUGCAGCAGGAUUCAUUGCUUAUCCAUUCCAAAGGCAAUAGUUUGCUGCUUUUAACCCCAAGUUCCCAGUCCACCCCACUCUGUGUCCUCCCCCUUGGCAACCACAAGUCUGUUCUCCAUGUCCACGAUUUUCUUUUCUGUGGAAAGGUUCAUCUGUGCCAUAUAUUAGAUUCCAGAUACAAGUGGUAUUUAUAUGGUAUUUGUCAUACUUACUCCACUUAGUAUGAGAGUCUCUAGUUCCAUCCAGGUUGCUGAAAAUUGCAUUAUUUUGUUCUUUUUUAUGGAUGAGUAGUAUUCCAUUGUGUGUGUGUGUGUGUGUGUGUGUGUGUGUACAUAUAUAUACCACAUCUUCUUAAUCCACUCAUCUGUCAAUGGACAUUUAGUUGUUUCCAUGUCUUGGCUAUUGUGAAUAGUACUGCAAUGAACACACGGGUACAUGUGUCUUUUUCAAGGAAAGUUUUGUCUGGAUGUAUGCCCAAGAGAAGGGUUGCUGGGUCAUAUGGUAGUUCUACAUUUAGUUUUCUAAGGUACCUCCAUACUGUCUUCCAUAGUGGUUGUACCAAUUUACACUCCCGCCGACAGUGCAGGAGGGUUCCCUUUUCUCCACAUCCUCUCCAGCAGUUGUUAUUUGUGGACUUUUUUUAGGGCCACUUCCACGGCAUAUGGAGGUCCCAGGCUAGGGGUUGAAUUGGGGCCACAGCUUCUGGCCUACACCACAGCUACAGCAACAUCAGAUCUGAGCCGCAUCUGCAAUAUCUACCAUGGCUCUCAGCAACACUGGAUCCUCAACCCACUGGGCAAGACCAGGGAUCGAACCCACAACCUCAUGGUCCCCAGUCGGAUUUGUUUUCUUGCACCACGAUGGGAACUCCUUAUUUGUCUCCUCAUUAAUGAUGGCCAUUCUGACUGGGGUGAGGUGGUACCUCAUAGCACUGAUUUGCAUUUCUCUAAUAAUCACACCACAUACAUAUUUACACACACAAACACACACACACGCUUAUUGUAAUGCUACCCUUUGGUCCCAUUUAACCACUGUUGUGUGUAUACUUAGCUUCCACAGCAGGGAAACUUACUUGUAGAGAGGAGUGAAUAGGAGGAUUUCACAUAAAAUCUCGCCCCAAAUCCCAAAUACCAGAUUCAGUUUUGUUUAUUUCGUAGUGAAUGGGGUAAAGGGGGAGAUGGAAAGAGGUGAAGGCAGCUCCUUUAGCAACUGCUUGGGAUGCUUUCAGCUGCAGAAUCCAUCCCCAAAGGGGUGACAGUGGGAGGUGGCGGCAGCUGUCCUGGGAGUGGGUUACCUGUCAACUGAGAGUUAAUAAGUCAGGGUCAGUCUUACUGCACACAUGUUGAUGUUAUCAUCUGUCUGGGUAUGCACUUGGGAUAGCCACGGAUAAAACAGGAAUGAAUAAAAAGGAUAGCAGAAUUCCUCAAAAACUUCAGUUCCAAGCAGCUGUGUUAACACAGAGCCAAACAUGAGCCCAGAACUCUCGAUAUAGAAUGUCUCAGUUUAGGUUUCCCCAGAGCUGGACAGAAACAAUUACUGAAAUGCAAGUAGCUGAUGUGGCUGACAAUUCCGGGAAACACAGGAAGGAAAGUAGCAAAGGGACCAGAACCAGAAGAAAGGAAAUAAAGGGCAUUUUAUCACGACUGUAGAUGACUAGAGCUUAAUCCCACUGCGGACCUCUCAGACACGGUCGCUAGGACAGAGACCGCUGAUGCCUCAGAAUCACCCCGAGACCUCCUUGCAAACAUGCGUUCUGAUUCAGGGCAUUUAGCGUGGGGUCUGAGGCUCGGCUCCUUACGUGCUCCCAGCUGAGAAUGCCCUUGCUGCUGCUCCUCAGAACAUCCCUUGAAGAGCAAGAUGUUGAUGAUGUCCUGAUUUUUUCUCCUUUAAGUACUUCAAAUUUACACAUCAAAUUGACAAAAUGUAUGUCCACUGCUUUUAUAACGCAUCACUACAUCUCCUUUGUCAUGUCCCCUUAUCCCAGACACGGCAUCACCACUGAGCCGCCUCAGUCCUGGAAGUACUGAGCCAGUCUCUACAGAAGGAAAACAGAAACAGAAACGUCUGUCCACUCUGUUCUGGUGCUACUGAACCAGAUGGCCCUGCUCAUGAGGGGCCAUGAAACGAAAUGAAGCAUCUCAGCCUUCGCCCAACACCUCCAACUCUUCUCUGCUUAUACCUUCUGUUCUUGCUCUCCCUCCAUUAUAGCGCCAACUUGUAUUCUGAUUUUGUGCGGAUUCACAAAUCUAUGGCCUCUGUAAAUGAGGAAUAAGUCUAUCUUCCUGAUUUUGAUACUCACACCCUCUUAUUAGGGUCUUACCUGAAGCAUAUAGAAGUUCCCAGGCUAUGGGUCAAAUCAGAGUGGAGCUGCAGCCGCCAGCCUACCCACAGCCACGGCAACACCAGAUCCGAGCCAUGUCUGUGAGCUACACCUCAGCUUGUGGCAACGCCGGAUCCUUAACUCACUGAGUGAGGCCAGGGAUCAAACCUGCAUCCCAUGGAUACUAGUCAGGUCCUCAAUCUCCUGCUGAGCUACAGCAGGGACUCCUCGGCCCUCUUUUUUUGGGGGGAGGGGGAGCAUCGCCCUUCAGCAUAUGGAAGUUAUCAGGCUGGGGAUCAAGUCAGAGCUGCAACCGCCAGCCCGAGCCACACCUGUGACCUCAGCCUUCUUUAAUGGCAUGUUUUCAUGCAUAAACGAAAUGCUAUGUUUUCAUUUCAUGCAGCUCUUACCCACUUGGUUACCCAAGGGUAAGCUUUCUGGAAGCUCAGUCCUCAUGUUUAUACUCAACUAGAAUCUAAAGAGAGAUAACUGGACCUGGGCAAACUAUUGGUUUUAAAUUAUUGUGUGAUGCUCAAAUGUAUAUAUUCCUAUGGUCCAAAGGAAACAAGCCCCAGCCCCUUUAGAAACACAAUCCUAAAAAGAAACUAACAAUGAUAUAAUUUGCCAUUCAAAACAGGUCACGAAAUAUUUAAUAUUUCCUUAAAAAGUUGUAUUUUUGUAUACUCUAGAUAUAAAUGUAUAUAUAAAAUUGAAUGAUAUAUGUAUAGAAAGGUGAGAGCAUACUGGGGCAUUGGUAUAUUCCAAGUUUUCUACAUUGCAUAUGUACGAAUACCUUUCAGUCUAUUUUAAAAGAAAGAAAAUUAGUUUCAGUCAUUCCUUCAUGAAAUAAUAAAAGCUUGAAUAACACAUACUAACAUUAAGACAGAGGAAGGUACGUAUGGAAAAAAAACAGGAAUUAAACCUUACUAAACCUUAUGUUAGUAAAAUUAACACUGAGAUAUUUUAUGAUAACUAAUUACCAUAACAAUUUACAAUAUACGAAGUGCAGUAUUAUUCUGCCUUCGGAAUGUUCAAAACAUAUUUAAUUCAAGUGUCAUAUAUUUCAGGCUUAUCUGCUUUGUCUGUUCAUCUAUAUGCAGGUUAUAUGGUCAUUAUAUCCACUGACAUCUUCAAUCCGCCAAUCAGGAAAAGGAACACGGUGUAGUUCAGAACAAAGGAACACCACUAUUCAGUGUUUACUUUUAUCUACUUCCAGUUCUUUCUGUUAUCCCAGGCUAUUUACACUGAAAACAUAUGCUAUCAGAAACAAAAAGGCAAGUGGCCACACAAACUUACAGAAGUCUAUUUGAGGAACAUCAAUAAUACGGCAGAGGAAGUUUUAAAGGAGGGUCCGUCCAAGUUUGCAUUUGAAAGAGAAGAUUCUAGGAUCAUUUCUGAGCAGGAAAAGACCUCACCUUACCUAAUUCAUCCAUAGAGAACUCCAGAUCAAGAGCCUGAGAGUUGGCUGUUGACAGCAUCCUUUUAUAAAAGACGACGACGAGGCAGAGGGAGAAGUUCGGGGCAGCUUAACCAACAUCACGAUGAUGUAACAGUACUGUUUUCUUUGUGAGCUUGAUAUUCACAUUGGUGUCUCCUUAAUAAAUAAUGGUACAAAAGCGCUGCUCAAUGUACAGCUGUCUCUCGAACGAUGCAUCGUUAGAAGCAUCGACGCCCUUGCAAGUCCAAAAUCCACCUAUAAUUUUCCACUCACACUCCCUACCCGAGGUUCUGCCUCUAAAGACUCAGCCAGCCAUGGAUCAUGUGAUACUGCAGUAGGUACAUAUUGAAAAAAAUGUGCACCUAAGCAGAUCCACAUAGUUCAAGCCAAGUCUUAAUAAAAGAUCAACUAUAUUUUAAAAACUGAACGUUUCAUAACCAGUAAAUGGAUGACCUGUCUCAAGAAAUCCUGAGAUAAUCCAUUCAUAUUAGCAGUCAUACUUCAGGAUUGGACGAUUAAUAAAUGAUGUGGUUUUUGCUUCAGAAACCUCACCUUCCUCAUGGUCCUUUUAACAUGUAUCAUACACAGUAACAAAAAAGAAGUCAUACAGAUUUAUGAAAAUAAAGUUCAAAGUCCAACCUUCACGAAUAUCAAAGAAUGCAGGGGCUGGAUCUGUCCUAAGCCUCUCUUCUUUAGUGAUUGAUCUCCAUAUUUUCUCUUAAGAAGACAGAACUUUAUCAGUUUACAAUAUACCCAAUUUCAAGUAGUCUUCAACACGUGUGAGAAUAAUCCCAAUACACUUCCUGACUCUUCUAUGAGGCUAUGUUAUAUAUCAUCACUGCAAAAAAAAUGCUGCAAAUGAAGUCUAAAGUAAGAGUAUCAGCACACU
RNAcentral lists this long non-coding RNA (4808 nucleotides) under Sus scrofa (pig). RNAcentral's name for it is "lncRNA (ENSSSCG00000054627.1)". The record is from RNAcentral. Lineage: Eukaryota; Metazoa; Chordata; Mammalia; Artiodactyla; Suidae.